RNAcentral lists this transfer RNA (72 nucleotides) under Ictidomys tridecemlineatus (thirteen-lined ground squirrel). RNAcentral describes it as "Spermophilus tridecemlineatus (thirteen-lined ground squirrel) tRNA". It matches the Rfam family "tRNA". Rfam says of the family: Transfer RNA (tRNA) molecules are approximately 80 nucleotides in length. Their secondary structure includes four short double-helical elements and three loops (D, anti-codon, and T loops). The record is from Rfam by way of RNAcentral. Lineage: Eukaryota; Metazoa; Chordata; Mammalia; Rodentia; Sciuridae.
GGGGUUGUGGCUCAGAGGUAGAGCGCUCACCUAGCAUGUGAGAGCCACUGGGUUUGAUCCUCAGCAACACAU